UGGUGACUAUAGCAAGGAGGUCACACCUGUUCCCAUGCCGAACACAGAAGUUAAGCUCCUUAGCGUCGAUGGUAGUCGAACUUAAAUGGAUGCGAUGAGCCGCAUU
This 106-nucleotide ribosomal RNA is filed under the name Staphylococcus aureus. Lineage: Bacteria; Bacillati; Bacillota; Bacilli; Caryophanales; Staphylococcaceae. The record is from RNAcentral.